This is a ribosomal RNA of Pseudohongiella spirulinae, 2894 nucleotides long. It matches the Rfam family "Bacterial large subunit ribosomal RNA". The record is from Rfam. NCBI's taxonomy places the organism in Bacteria, Pseudomonadati, Pseudomonadota, Gammaproteobacteria, Pseudomonadales, Pseudohongiellaceae.
GGUCAAGCAAUUAAGCGUACGUGGUGGAUGCCUUGGCAGCCAGAGGCGAUGAAGGACGUGGUAGGCAGCGAAAUGCUUCGGGGAGCCGUCAAACAGGCUUUGAUCCGGAGAUGUCCGAAUGGGGAAACCCGGCCCACUUGUGGGUCAUCCUUAACUGAAUCCAUAGGUUAAGGAAGCGAACGCGGGGAACUGAAACAUCUAAGUACCUGCAGGAAAAGAAAUCAAUUGAGAUUCCCUAAGUAGCGGUGAGCGAACGGGGAAAAGCCCUUAAGCAGUUUUAGUGUUAGUGGAACGGUCUGGAAAGUCCGGCGACAGUGGGUGAUAGCCCCGUACACGAAAGCACUGGGAUUGUGAAAACGAGUAGGUCGAAACACGUGUAAUUUUGACUGAAGAUGGGGGGACCAUCCUCCAAGGCUAAAUACUCCUGGCUGACCGAUAGUGAACUAGUACCGUGAGGGAAAGGCGAAAAGAACCCCGGAGAGGGGAGUGAAAUAGACCCUGAAACCGCGUACGUACAAGCAGUCGGAGCAGGCAUUGUGUCCUGUGACGGCGUACCUUUUGUAUAAUGGGUCAGCGAGUUAAUGUCAGUAGCAAGGUUAACCGUGUAGGGGAGCCGUAGGGAAACCGAGUCUUAACUGGGCGAAUGAGUUGCUGGCAUUAGACCCGAAACCGGGCGAUCUACCCAUGGGCAGGUUGAAGGUGCCGUAACAGGCACUGGAGGACCGAACCGGGAUCUGUUGAAAAAGAUUCGGAUGACCUGUGGGUCGGAGUGAAAGGCUAAUCAAGCCCGGAGAUAGCUGGUUCUCCUCGAAAGCUAUUUAGGUAGCGCCUCGUGGAAUUGACUGCUGGGGGUAGAGCACUGUGUCGGCUAGGGGGUCAUCCCGACUUACCAACCCGAUGCAAACUCCGAAUACCAGUAAGUUUUAUCACGGGAGACAGACGGCGGGUGCUAACGUCCGUCGUCAAGAGGGAAACAACCCAGACCGCCAGCUAAGGUCCCAAAUAUCAGUUAAGUGGGAAACGAUGUGGGAAGGCUCAGACAGCUAGGAGGUUGGCUUAGAAGCAGCCAUCCUUUAAAGAAAGCGUAAUAGCUCACUAGUCGAGUCGGCCUGCGCGGAAGAUAUAACGGGGCUCAAACUGAUAACCGAAGCUGCGGAUACGUGUUUACACGUAUGGUAGAGGAGCGUUGUGUAGGCCGUUGAAGGUGAAUCGAGAGGUUUGCUGGAGGUAUCACAAGUGCGAAUGCUGACAUGAGUAACGAUAAGGGGGGUGAAAAACCUCCCCGCCGGAAGAUCAAGGUUUCCUGUCCAACGUUAAUCGGGACAGGGUGAGUCGGCCCCUAAGGCGAGAGCGAGAGCUGUAGUCGAUGGGAAAUCGGUUAAAAUUCCGAUACCGGCUGUUACUGCGAUGGAGUGACGGAGAAGGCUAGGCCAGCGCGGCGUUGGUUGUCCGCGUUUAAGGUAGUAGGCUGAGGGUUUAGGUAAAUCCGGACCCUUAAGGCUGAGAGCUGAUGACGAUCCUGUUUUUAAACGGGAGAAGUGGUUGAUGCCCUGCUUCCAGGAAAAACUUCUAAGCUUCAGGUAACAGACGACCGUACUGUAAACCGACACAGGUGAUCAGGUAGAGAAUACCAAGGCGCUUGAGAGAACUUGGGUGAAGGAACUAGGCAAAAUGGUACCGUAACUUCGGGAGAAGGUACGCUCCUUUUGGUGAACUAUUUACUAGGUAAGCUGAGAGGAGUCGAAGUGACCAGGUGGCUGCAACUGUUUAUUAAAAACACAGCACUGUGCAAACACGUAAGUGGACGUAUACGGUGUGACGCCUGCCCGGUGCCGGAAGGUUAAUUGAUGGGGUUAGCGUAAGCGAAGCUCUUGAUCGAAGCCCCGGUAAACGGCGGCCGUAACUAUAACGGUCCUAAGGUAGCGAAAUUCCUUGUCGGGUAAGUUCCGACCUGCACGAAUGGCGUAAUGAUGGCCACGCUGUCUCCACCCAAGACUCAGUGAAAUUGAAAUCGCUGUUAAGAUGCAGUGUACCCGCGGCUAGACGGAAAGACCCCGUGAACCUUUACUAUAGCUUCACACUGGACUUUGACACUAUCUGUGUAGGAUAGGUGGGAGACUUUGAAGCAGGUGCGCCAGCACUUGUGGAGUCAUCCUUGAAAUACCACCCUGGUAUUGUUGAGGUUCUAACUCAGUGCCUGAAACGGGCACGAGGACCGUGUGUGGUGGGUAGUUUGACUGGGGCGGUCUCCUCCCAAAGUGUAACGGAGGAGCACGAAGGUACCCUAAGAGCGGUCGGAAAUCGCUCGUUUAGUGUAAUGGCAUAAGGGUGCUUGACUGCGAGAGCGACGGCUCGAGCAGGUACGAAAGUAGGUCAUAGUGAUCCGGUGGUUCUGAAUGGAAGGGCCAUCGCUCAACGGAUAAAAGGUACUCCGGGGAUAACAGGCUGAUACCGCCCAAGAGUUCACAUCGACGGCGGUGUUUGGCACCUCGAUGUCGGCUCAUCACAUCCUGGGGCUGAAGCCGGUCCCAAGGGUAUGGCUGUUCGCCAUUUAAAGUGGUACGCGAGCUGGGUUUAGAACGUCGUGAGACAGUUCGGUCCCUAUCUGCCGUGGGCGUUGGAGAUUUGAGAGGAGCUGCUCCUAGUACGAGAGGACCGGAGUGGACGAACCUCUGGUGUUCGGGUUGUCACGCCAGUGGCAUUGCCCGGUAGCUAUGUUCGGACAGGAUAACCGCUGAAAGCAUCUAAGCGGGAAGCCUCCCUCAAGACGAGAUCUCCCUGGGGCCUUGAGCCCCCUGAAGUGCCGUUCGAGACCAGGACGUUGAUAGGCUGGGUGUGUAAGCGUUGUGAGGCGUUGAGCUAACCAGUACUAAUUGCACGUGAGGCUUGACCAU